This 492-nucleotide ribosomal RNA is filed under the name uncultured bacterium. Its description in RNAcentral is "partial 16S ribosomal RNA". It matches the Rfam family "Bacterial small subunit ribosomal RNA", at positions 30 to 507 of the family's 1533-position model. The record is from RNAcentral.
AGUGAACGCUGGCGGCAUGCCUAACACAUGCAAGUCGAACGGCAGCACGGGAAGUUGCCCCUGGUGGCGGGUGCGGAAGGCGGGUGGGUUACAUAUGGAUAGGUCCCGUAGUGGGCGAGGGGCAGAACGAAGCGGGAUUGAUACUACAACCGAAUAAGGGCUGAGAGCGGGGGCACUGGGGGCCUCGAGCUUUCGGGUUGGCCGGAGGCGGUGUCGGAUUAGCUAGGUGGCGGGGUAAAGGCACACCAAGGCGACGAUCCGUAGCUGGUCUGAGAGGAGGACCAGCCACACUGGGACUGAGACACGGCCCAGACUCCUACGGGAGGCAGCAGUGGGGAAUUUUCGACAAUGGGCGAAAGCCUGAUCCAGCAAUGCCGCGUGUGUGAAGAAGGCCUUCGGGUUGUAAAGCACUUUUGUCCGGAAAGAAAACCUGGGCCCUAAUACGGUCGUGUGCUGACGGUACCGAAAGAAUAAGCACCGGCUAACUACGUG